AAAGAAAGAAAGAAAGAAAGAAAGAAAAGGAUCAGACAGUUGCCCUGCUACACUCAUUGUUAUGCACACAAGGUGAGAGGGAGGCGACACCAUUAGAACCAGAAACAUUAAAGAUAAGCAGACAAGAGCCCAAAGCACCGAACGCAAAUGGAAAUAGAAAUAAAUGUGCAUGUGAUACAGCAUUCUCUAACAAGAAGUCUAUGAAGACUCAGGCAAAGCUGGCAUUUGCUGUAGGAGAAAGAAGUGAAACGUUUACCUCCAUCUGCCUUUGGAACGUAUGGCUGCCUCCUUGCUGUGUCCUCACAGUCUUUCCUGUGUGGGGAUGCAUCCUGCUGUCUCUGUGUACGUCCACAUUUCCUCUUCUUAUAAGGACACCAAGUCAAAAUGGAUUAGGGCCUCAUUUUAACUUAAUCCCCUCUUUAAUGCGCCUAUCUCUUAGUCAUAUUUUGAGGGACUGGGCUUUAACACACGGAUUUGAGGGAAACACAAUGUAGCUCAUAACAACAGCAUAGCUUUUGAGUUUUUGCACAUUGCAGGACCAAGUUUAUUUUCUUUCCAGACCAUGCCAUACAGCUUCCUUCUAAAGAUUGCAUAAGAUAAAUUACAUAUUAAUUUUGUAUAUCGUACUACAGGAUUCCUGGUGAUAUUUAAAACUUUGUGAAUUUUCAACAUACCCUAAAAAGAUCUCUGAAUCUCCUUACAUGAACGUAGUUUGACAGUUUGAGAGAGAGCUGCGUUCAGACCUCUUUUCCUAAAGUUUUAUUACUUAUUUUAGAGAUAGCCUGUGAUAAAGUUUAUUUUUAUUUCAAGUCUCUAAUAGACUUUGUUUUCAGAUAACUUAAAAAUUGUCCUUUAUUGGAGAUUGUUUUAUCACUACAGAUAUUUUCACAUAUAUAAUACCAUGCUUAUUGACAGC
Long non-coding RNA from Canis lupus familiaris (dog), 916 nucleotides. RefSeq lists it as uncharacterized. The transcript is spliced from 3 exons. NCBI's taxonomy places the organism in Eukaryota, Metazoa, Chordata, Mammalia, Carnivora, Canidae. The record is from RefSeq and is a predicted model, not a curated record.